Molecule: ribosomal RNA, 160 nt
Filed under: Hypochnicium bombycinum
Lineage: Eukaryota; Fungi; Basidiomycota; Agaricomycetes; Polyporales
Description: 5.8S ribosomal RNA
Rfam family: 5.8S ribosomal RNA
About the family: 5.8S ribosomal RNA (5.8S rRNA) is a component of the large subunit of the eukaryotic ribosome.
Source: RNAcentral
CAACUUUUAGCAACGGAUCUCUUGGCUCUCGCAUCGAUGAAGAACGCAGCGAAAUGCGAUAAGUAAUGUGAAUUGCAGAAUUCAGUGAAUCAUCGAAUCUUUGAACGCACCUUGCGCUCCUUGGUAUUCCGAGGAGCAUGCCUGUUUGAGUGUCAUGGUA